This 386-nucleotide ribosomal RNA is filed under the name uncultured bacterium. RNAcentral describes it as "bacterial SSU rRNA". It matches the Rfam family "Bacterial small subunit ribosomal RNA", at positions 30 to 419 of the family's 1533-position model. The record is from RNAcentral.
AUUGAACGCUGGCGGCAUGCCUUACACAUGCAAGUCGAACGGCAGCACGGGGGCAACCCUGGUGGCGAGUGGCGAACGGGUGAGUAACAUAUCGGAACGUGCCCUGGAGUGGGGGAUAACUAGUCGAAAGAUUAGCUAAUACCGCAUACGAUCUACGGAUGAAAGUGGGGGAUCGCAAGACCUCAUGCUCGUGGAGCGGCCGAUAUCUGAUUAGCUAGNGGUGGGUAAGGCCUACCAAGGCAUCGAUCAGUAGCUGGUCUGAGAGGACGACCAGCCACACUGGGACUGAGACACGGCCCAGACUCCUACGGGAGGCAGCAGUGGGGAAUUUUGGACAAUGGGCGCAAGCCUGAUCCAGCAAUGCCGCGUGAGUGAAGAAGGCCUGG